UCUACUUUCAAAUAUCAAAUACACUCUUUUUUUUUUUUUUUUUUAAUCUUUGUUCUGUUGUCUCACUCAGUUUAUCUUAUCUAUCUCAACAUCCAAGAGAGAAACAAACAUAAAGGCAUCAUCAUACAGGUAAAGUAAUUUAGUUUGUUUACCAUAUAUUCUUGCUAGUCUCUCUGCCUGCUAGCUAGUUACCCUUGUUCGUCAUCUUCCAAACAUUUUUAAUGGAGUUCAACUAUAAUUUCUAAUGCUAUAUUUUAAAAUCUGUUAGUACAUAUUUAUAUUCUUGACUUUAAUGAUGUGUGUCUAUAAAUUAUUUUUUUAGAUAUACACGUCUUUAAUAAAUUGGUUUGUAGUUAUAUAUUUUUGUCAUUAAGUAUAUAUAGCAUGCUAUCUUUACUUCAAUAAUGUGACAAAUAAUCAUAUGUGUGGUGUUCUUAGUUGUAUAUAUAUAAUAAUAAUAAUGUUAAGUCUUUAUUUUUAUUUUUAUGUCAGUAUAUAUAUUCUGUCUAAAAACAACAACAUAGAACGGGUUUAUAACUUUUGUGAGAAAACAAAGAAAGAAUGUUUUUUUUUCUUUCUUUUUGCUGGAUUUAUAAGUAUCGUGCAUCGUUUUGAUUUUGCGAAGAAAAAUAAUUUUAAUGAAGAUUGAUUUUGAUUUUGCAGAGGGUGUAUGCAAAGGGACUGUGUUGUUCGAGAACUUCCCAGCUUCUGCGCAAAGUGACUGUACUGUUUGUCCGAGAGCUUCCCAUCUUCUGCUUGACCAGCCUUUGAAGUUAAUCUGAUAUGUAAUUAAUGCAAUUAUGAUAUUUAUUACGAAGAAUAUAUAUGUAUAUAUGGUGUGGAUAUGUGUCACAUACGUAUAGAUGGGUCACAUGUAUGAUGAAUGUCACAUGCAUAUUAUAGAUGUAUGUAUAGGGUGUGUUGAUGCCACGCGCAUAGUAUAUAGAAUAUAUCUGUAUGUAUAUGGUAUUAGGGUGUAUGUCUAGAUGUAGUGUAUAUAGGGUGUGAUUGUUGCAUAGUAUAGAUGAACUUGUCACAUGACAAGUAUAGAUGUAGUCUAGGUGCGAAUGUGAGCGAUGGUACGCAGUGUCGCAUGCAUAAAGAGCGACGGAACAACACACACAAAAAAAAUCAACUUCGACGGAAAAAAUUAUAUCACACGAUAAAGAUAACAAAACAGCACGCACAAAACUGGACAACUGAAGCACGCACAAAACUGGACAACAUAAGACCGUCAAAAUAACUUAACUGGCCGACGGUCAAAUAACUGGCCAAGCGAUCGUUAGUCGAAACACGUAUAAUUUUUUUAGCAAAACUAAUAUUAAUGGCUAGGCAUGAUUAAGUUGCGAAAACAUACGUGUAACAGUGUCAAAAUAUUUCUGUAUUUCGGAGAGCUUUAAUUCACCUAAAUGGUGACAAACGACACAAAAAAUCCUAAA
RNAcentral lists this long non-coding RNA (1439 nucleotides) under Capsella grandiflora. RNAcentral describes it as "long non-coding RNA (CGRA_LNC001060)". Lineage: Eukaryota; Viridiplantae; Streptophyta; Magnoliopsida; Brassicales; Brassicaceae. The record is from RNAcentral.